AGCAAUUAUCAAAUAAAGCUGCAUUUAUUGAAGACACAAUUAGGUAAGCAUCUAGAGCAGUAUUUCUCAAUCUUGAAAACUUUAGGAUAUGUUGACUUCAACUCCCAGAAUUGCCCAGCUAGUUGAAGUCCACUCAUCUUUAAGCUGCCAAGAAUGGAAACAAGAGUUAUGAUUGUGCAGUAUUGGGCUGAAUUGAGAAGACUAUAGGAUCCUGCAACUCCACAGAUAUCGACCCAACUGUAAAUUCAUCUGAGUCUGUAAAUUAAAUCCCAUGUAUCAGAUGGAAAGUCAGCUUCUCAUGUAAUACAUAGACAUAAAGAAGAAAAACAAA
Long non-coding RNA from Crotalus tigris (Tiger rattlesnake), 331 nucleotides. RefSeq lists it as uncharacterized. NCBI's taxonomy places the organism in Eukaryota, Metazoa, Chordata, Lepidosauria, Squamata, Viperidae. The record is from RefSeq and is a predicted model, not a curated record. The transcript is spliced from 2 exons.